UACGUAGGGUGCAAGCGUUGUCCGGAAUUACUGGGCGUAAAGGGUGCGUAGGUGGUUAAAUAAGUUAGAUGUAAAAACCCUGGGCUUAACCUAGGACUGAGAUUUAAUACUGUUUAACUAGAGUAUGGGAGAGGGUAGUGGAAUUUCCGGUGUAGCAGUGAAAUGCGUAGAGAUCGGGAGGAACACCAGUGGCGAAGGUGGCUACCUGGCCUAAUACUGACACUGAGGCACGAAAGCGUGGGGAGUAAACAGG
RNAcentral lists this ribosomal RNA (253 nucleotides) under uncultured bacterium. RNAcentral describes it as "partial 16S ribosomal RNA". It matches the Rfam family "Bacterial small subunit ribosomal RNA", at positions 524 to 776 of the family's 1533-position model. The record is from RNAcentral.